AUGCAUUUAUUUUUAUCUGUUCCUCUGAUGUUCUUUAUUCAGUUGUGCAAUAAGCAUCCUCAAAUCUUGUUCACUCUGAGAGAACAUGUCAUCAUCAUCAGGCAGUACAUAUUCUUACUACCCACUAUCACUCUUAAUUCACUCAUAGCAGUUUCCUUCACACAUGCAUCCUUGUAUAUUUUAAACAGCCAUAGGGAAAUCGCACAUUCUUGUCUCACCCUUUUUCAAUUGUAUUCCACUCUAACAUGCCUUCAUUUGCUCACACACUUGUAGAACUGUUAGCAUACAUUGUUCUCACUGCUGCAAGCAGCUAUUCAUUUGCAUCAUAUUGUCU
RNAcentral lists this long non-coding RNA (334 nucleotides) under Androctonus crassicauda. Lineage: Eukaryota; Metazoa; Arthropoda; Arachnida; Scorpiones; Buthidae. The record is from RNAcentral.